This 1200-nucleotide long non-coding RNA is filed under the name Bos taurus (domestic cattle). RNAcentral's name for it is "long non-coding RNA NONBTAT024419". The record is from RNAcentral. Lineage: Eukaryota; Metazoa; Chordata; Mammalia; Artiodactyla; Bovidae.
GGCAAUUUUAAUUAAAUAGACUUAAUCUCAGUAAUGUGCUGGUAACAUAAAUGUCAUGUUUUCAUAGGAAAACUUAUUUAUAAAUCUUUACACCUUUAUUGUCAGUUAGGUGAGGGGAGUCCUGGUGUGAUUUGACAUCCUAACCAGUAGGAUCUUUUCUGCAUACACUACCGGAGCGCCUGGGGCCUUUAUGCCCAUGAUCUACUGAAUGUUUCUGAAAAACUAUUUCUCUUUUUUUGUGUUCCUGAGUACUUGGCAGAUGUUCAUUUAGUGGGAAUUCUGACCUACCACAUGGAUGAACUUGAAAUUAAUGGCAAGGGAAAAAAAAAACGAACUUAUUUUCUUUUAAAGAAAGAAACUUAAAAAAGAGCAUAAGUAUUUCUAAAAAGCCAUUGAAAGGAAGCAUGCUGUUUGUAAUUUAGAAAUGCUUUUUAUUCACUGAUAAGUAUUCACUUUUUUACAGCUUGUAUCAAAACAAAUGAUUUUGGUUUUCUCAUAAAGGGCAAAACAGGUUGACACCAAUGGGUUGGCAUUUCUUAAAAUUUUUGCUAUCAGGUUUUAUCCUUUAAUAAUGUUAUUUGUACUUCUAAAUUACAGCUUUUAGUUAAUUAUGAAAUCAGUUAUUUCAUUUGUUUCUUGACUUCUCCUCCAUAUUAUGAAUGCUGUUUUUAAAAUAUACUACACAAAUUUGCAUCCCUUUUUUUCUCUUAUAGCUUUUAUAGUUAAUAUAUUCUAAACUUGAAAAUUGUGGUAUCAAUCAAUAAUAGAGGUGUCACUGGAGGAUUUAAUUUUGUAUUAUGUGUAGAAAUAGCUACUAAAGUGUGUAAGCCUUAAAGUUUAAAACAUUUUUCUUAAAUAACUAUACACAGAUUUUUCAUUUUUUUCAUAAAGUGGGAGGAGAUAGGUCAUUCUGCUUGCUUUUCUUUUUUUAUUUCCAUAAUCGGAAGCAGUACAGGCUAGGGUAUGUUAAUCAAGUGAGCAAGAUGAGAUAUGUAAAAUAUAAAGAGAAGCUGUAUAAAUCACAGUAUAAAAUUAAGUUUGGGAAUUGUAAAAUGUACUGUAUUUAUAUGUAACUCAUUCUAAAAGUUGCCACAAAGGCUGAAUUGGAAGCUUCAUGUCUGCAUGAAAUUUCCUAUAUUUUUAAUGUGUAUGAUGGACUUAAUUUUUCUUGAAUAUUAAAAUCUGACAAUUGCUAUGAAA